RNAcentral lists this ribosomal RNA (301 nucleotides) under uncultured bacterium. RNAcentral's name for it is "partial 16S ribosomal RNA". It matches the Rfam family "Bacterial small subunit ribosomal RNA", at positions 509 to 807 of the family's 1533-position model. The record is from RNAcentral.
CAGUAGCCGCGGUAAUACAGAGGAUGCAAGCGUUAUCCGGAAUGAUUGGGCGUAAAGCGUCUGUAGGUGGCUUUUCAAGUCCGCCGUCAAAUCCCAGGGCUCAACCCUGGACAGGCGGUGGAAACUACCAAGCUGGAGUACGGUAGGGGCAGAGGGAAUUUCCGGUGGAGUGGUGAAAUGCGUUGAGAUCGGAAAGAACACCAGUGGCGAAGGCGACUUUCUGGACGAAAACUGACGCUGAGGCGCGGAAGCCAGGGGAGCGAACGGGAUUAGAUACCCCUGUAGUCCCUGUCUCUUAUAC